RNAcentral lists this transfer RNA (74 nucleotides) under Helianthus annuus (common sunflower). RNAcentral's name for it is "tRNA HanXRQr2_Chr10g0465181". It matches the Rfam family "tRNA". From Rfam's summary of the family: Transfer RNA (tRNA) molecules are approximately 80 nucleotides in length. Their secondary structure includes four short double-helical elements and three loops (D, anti-codon, and T loops). Further hydrogen bonds mediate the characteristic L-shaped molecular structure. tRNAs have two regions of fundamental functional importance: the anti-codon, which is responsible for specific mRNA codon recognition, and the 3' end, to which the tRNAs corresponding amino acid is attached (by aminoacyl-tRNA synthetases). tRNAs cope with the degeneracy of the genetic code in two manners: having more than one tRNA (with a specific anti-codon) for a particular amino acid; and 'wobble' base-pairing, i.e. permitting non-standard base-pairing at the 3rd anti-codon position. The record is from RNAcentral. Lineage: Eukaryota; Viridiplantae; Streptophyta; Magnoliopsida; Asterales; Asteraceae.
AUCCAUUGUCGUCCAGCGGCUAGGAUAUCUGGCUUUCACCCAGGAGACCCGGGUUCGAUUCCCGGCAAUGGAAA